AAUUUUUCCAACAGCAUUCUGUAUUUAUGCAGUCUCCUUCCUCAAACAUCCUCACCCCCUCAAACUCCUUAUAUUACAUUAGAAACACAGUGUCCUGGGCUCUACAUCAAUGCCCUCCACAGUCCUGGAGCAAUGACAGUGCAGAGUCAUGAGGUGGAGGUGGGUGGAGUUCCUUGUUCAGAUGAAUGAGGAAGCUCAGUGACUCAGAGAGAACCUGUAGUCUGUGAGCACAAGUUGUCUGGGCACAAGACUGACCCCCUUCAGAGCUGGAGAGAAGACAUCCCAGCAAGUGGACAGGGGCCAUGGAGAGGAACCUGGGAGCUGUGCUGGGGAUUCUGUGGGUGCAGAUUUGCUGGGUGAGAGGAGAUGGUGUGGAGCAGAGUCCUCCAGCCCUGAGUCUCCACGAGGGAACCAGUUCUGUUCUGAGAUGCAAUUUUUCUAUCACCACUACAACUGUGCAGUGGUUCCGACAGAAUCCCAGGGGCAGCCUCAUCAGUCUGUUCUUCCUGGCUCCAGGAACAAAGGAGAACGGGAGGUUAAAGUCAACAUUCGAUGCUAAGGAGCGCUACAGCACCCUGCACAUCAGGGGUGCCCAGCUGGAGGACUCAGGCACCUACCUCUGUGCUGCUGAGGCACGGUGCUCCCAGUGAGCCUGCAGCCUGGCCCCAAACUGCAGCUGGGUGUGCAGCUACAACCCCUGCCUUGGAAGACUCUGCAGGAGGCUUUGCACAGCUGUGGCUUCAUCAGAUCUCCACAAAUCACAAAGAUGUGGGGAAACAUAAAAAUACCACUGCAGUUCCCACUUACAUUCUGACUGACAUGACACUGACUUCUAGAGUGCUAAAUGCUCAGAAAUAUCAGCAUGCAUGACUAAAAUAUACCCCUUUAUUUUUCCAUGUUUGUAC
This is a non-coding RNA of Rattus rattus (black rat), 905 nucleotides long. Lineage: Eukaryota; Metazoa; Chordata; Mammalia; Rodentia; Muridae. The record is from the annotation of a RefSeq genome assembly.